This 425-nucleotide ribosomal RNA is filed under the name uncultured bacterium. Its description in RNAcentral is "partial 16S ribosomal RNA". It matches the Rfam family "Bacterial small subunit ribosomal RNA", at positions 354 to 796 of the family's 1533-position model. The record is from RNAcentral.
GUGGGGAAUCUUGCGCAAUGGGCGAAAGCCUGACGCAGCCAUGCCGCGUGAAUGAUGAAGGUCUUAGGAUUGUAAAAUUCUUUCACCGGGGACGAUAAUGACGGUACCCGGAGAAGAAGCUCCGGCUAACUUCGUGCCAGCAGCCGCGGUAAUACGAAGGGGGCUAGCGUUGCUCGGAAUUACUGGGCGUAAAGGGCGCGUAGGCGGACAGUUUAGUCAGAGGUGAAAGCCCAGGGCUCAACCUUGGAAUUGCCUUUGAUACUGGGUGUCUUGAGUACGGGAGAGGUGAGUGGAACUCCGAGUGUAGAGGUGAAAUUCGUAGAUAUUCGGAAGAACACCAGUGGCGAAGGCGACUCACUGGCCCAAUACUGACGCUGAGGCGCGAAAGCGUGGGGAGCAAACAGGAUUAGAUACCCGUGUAGUCC